This 693-nucleotide ribosomal RNA is filed under the name Apanteles fumiferanae. Its description in RNAcentral is "eukaryotic LSU rRNA". It matches the Rfam family "Eukaryotic large subunit ribosomal RNA", at positions 343 to 792 of the family's 3401-position model. The record is from RNAcentral. Lineage: Eukaryota; Metazoa; Arthropoda; Insecta; Hymenoptera; Braconidae.
AACCAUACCGUGAGGGCUACUUGAAAAGAACUUUAACGACAGAGUUCAAGAGUACGUGAAACCGCUUCAGGGGUAAACCUGUUGAAACCCAAAAGAUCGAAUGAGGAGAUUCAUCGUCAGCGUAUUCAGUAUUAAUGCAGGCUAUGAUGUGAUAAUAGAAUCCUCGUGGUCACUAGAUUAUACUUGCUUGUAUUAUUUUUGCUGGGUAUGUCGGCGUGCACUUCUCCUCUAGUAGAACGUCGCAACCCGUUGGAUGUUUAUCUAUGGCCUGAUUGGUAGCCUUUGAUAUUUUAUUAUAUCGAAGACCUUUUGGUGUCCUGGUAAACUGUCUGACGGUAUACACAUAGUAUUGAGCCGCAAUUAUUUGCGUUAGACUUGCCGCAAGUAAGACUUUAUUCUGGUAGUGCGGAUUUAAUGCCGUCGCUGGACAAAGUCUGCUGUUAGCUGUGUAAUGUCUUUAACUGGCUUAUUUACUGGUUAGCGAUGCUACUGCUUUGGGUACUUACAGGACCCGUCUUGAAACACGGACCAAGGAGUCUAACAUGUGCGCGAGUCAUUGGGAUAUAUUUAUAUAACUCAAACCUAAAGGCGUAAUGAAAGUAUAGAUUGUCUUAACGACAAUUGAGGGAAGAUGGGUUACGUUACGAUGUAAUCCCGCAUUCCCAGACGGUUCUAUUCUCAUUGCAGGAAACG